Patella vulgata (common limpet) is the source of this 191-nucleotide long non-coding RNA. RefSeq lists it as uncharacterized. The transcript has 3 exons. The record is from RefSeq and is a predicted model, not a curated record. NCBI's taxonomy places the organism in Eukaryota, Metazoa, Mollusca, Gastropoda, Patellidae.
AAGAAGAUGAAGAGCGAACAUUCCCCAUUGCUGGUGUAAUGAGGACGACUUCCGGAUGGUAUAUAAAUACCAAGAAUGUCCACUAGAUUUCAUCCAAUAUCUCAUCUCUUCAACGGUAUAUACCUCUCAAAUAUUUAAAGAUGGCUGCAGUCCUCAAUAUUCUAACCAUAUUCCUUGUUCUAGCUCUUGUU